AGCUUGUCUGUGAUGUUUCUUAUUAAAAAUGUCUGGACAUGUAUAAACUCUAUAGUCAUUUCAGUACAUUACUGAGAGAAGCU
This is a small nucleolar RNA of Cuculus canorus (common cuckoo), 83 nucleotides long. RefSeq annotates it as small nucleolar RNA SNORD72. The record is from RefSeq and is a predicted model, not a curated record. Lineage: Eukaryota; Metazoa; Chordata; Aves; Cuculiformes; Cuculidae. The transcript has a single exon.